Long non-coding RNA from Callithrix jacchus (white-tufted-ear marmoset), 1046 nucleotides. Lineage: Eukaryota; Metazoa; Chordata; Mammalia; Primates; Cebidae. The record is from Ensembl.
AUAAGUCUGAGUGUCUAGGGUUAUGAGAUCAAAUUGUGUUUCUUUGUCACUGGAAAUCCCCACUUCAAACCUUAAGAACGAGCCAUUCAAAAGCUUGCAGUGAGGCAACACACUUAACAGGAAAGCAUGACUUCAUUUUGGCAUGAUUCGUCUUCAAAAUCAGGCAAAGAAACCCGUUUUAUGGUGUGAAAGAGGUGUGUUCAUGGACGCAAGGCAAUUGCAUACUGAACACCACGUCACUCAUAAAGAGAAAAUGAAAGCAACCAAAAGAGAAUUUCCUGCCACUCCCACCAGCAAAAUGCAUCAGCAUACCUGCACCUGAAAUCACAUUCUUUGCUUUCCUUCCUUUGAGAGCAUUUGGUCUGUCAGUAUUUCUAUCAAAGACCAAACCAUAUCCUAGCCCGUUAGCAGAGAACAUUUUCCUGAAAAUGACCGUUUCUGGGUUUCACUUUAUGCUUUCCCCCAUACUGAAUCAUUCUCAUUAUCAUUUGUUUCAAAGGAAGAGUUAUAAUUCAAAUAUUUAUUUUAGUGCAAUGAGUAAGAGAUUAAAGCUAAAUUUAAUAUGAAGAUUGGUUCAGAAGAUAAAAGUUCGCUUUGCACAACAUUUUUAAACUGUUGAAGUACUAUCUUCACAAUAUUACUCUCCGUACAUGCAUUUCAUUGCUCCUCUAUUUUUCUGCCUUUCUCCAAAACAAUACCUGAUACUGCCCUACUUUUGAUUCUCUUGUAUUCUUACUUUUUCCUAAUCGAGAAUGAACAGUGACGAUAAUUAAACAACGGAUUGAAAACCAACUCCGGUGGUAGUGCUGGGUGCUUAAUGGGUAACAUCAUCUGCUCAAGUUACUGAGACUUCACCUACUUGGAAGCUACUGAUCUCAAAGCUUAAGGAAUAAUUAUUGAGGAGAUGAUUUAGGUAAAUUUGAUUUGGAAAUGUUGUCCAGGAAAUCCUAGGGCCCAUUUUUCACCGGGCUUGAGACAUAUUUGGAACAGAGAAGAUUAGGGAUUGGUGAGUCAGAAAUGGCUGCUUUGGGAAAUGAACUGAACUG